This is a long non-coding RNA of Artibeus jamaicensis (Jamaican fruit-eating bat), 1630 nucleotides long. RefSeq lists it as uncharacterized. The record is from RefSeq and is a predicted model, not a curated record. The transcript is spliced from 3 exons. Lineage: Eukaryota; Metazoa; Chordata; Mammalia; Chiroptera; Phyllostomidae.
AAGGAGGUGUCUUGGUAGCACAGGACCUGCAGAAGCCUGUGAUUGGCAGCCAACUGGAGGCGGACUGGGUGUGAGGCACUGGUGCAGGUAAUUGUGGAGGUCGCAGGAAGGGCUUGACGGUAAGCGGGGAGCAAAAGCUGUAAGUAAAUUGAGGGAGAGGGACGGGUCCAGCCGGAGGAGCCUGGUAUUUCCGUUUCUGUCACUUCCUGGCCUUGUUUAGGAAGAAAGGUAAAAUGUGAGGAGGCGCGCUCCUAAACCCAUCCUCCGGCUACCCAGGAGCUUCUGUUAAACUGAGGGUUGGAAGAGGCGGGGUUUGCCGGAAAUAACCCCGAAGCCCCCGAUAUGCUUAAAGGGAGACAGCCAGAAAAAUCAGUUCUGGAAAAGAAAAGAAAAAGCCUUUGCUCUGAGUUGCAUUUGUUCGGAUUUCACUAAGUGGAACAGAUCCUUCUGGCUCCUAAGCAUCUAGUACAAUGUAUGGUAUUAGCAUACAAUUAUGUUUUAAGUAACUUAUCAAAAGGCAAUACAAUGCCUUCUAUAAGACCAUAAUUUAAAAGAAAGAGUGCAAGAACUUGUUUGUAAGAGAAAGCCUUUCAUAUUAUGGGGUAUCCUAUUUUAUCGAUAUUCCUUUACUUAGUAGUUAUGGAUAAUAUGUAUCCACUUUAGUAGAAAUAAUUUCAAACUUUUAAAACAUCAACAGCUUCUGUUUUAGAGAGGGCUAAAGGGCACCAAGUUAGAAUGUGGCAUAGAGAUGGCACUUUCCACAGUACUAUCCCACUGCUACUAUCACUAUUAAGGUCUCUGCAAUGCCAAAGAAAUGUCUCUCAAGCUUUGAAAGUAACUGUUCAAAAUAAGGGGGAAGGAGGGAAGAGCAUUUGAUUAAAUUAACGUUAAAGACUAAGGAGAUCAUAUGGGGUGGGCAAAUAGGUUUACAUUAGUGAAUACUGAAACAUAUUCUUGUAUUAUGUAUUGUCAACUAUUGUACUAUUUGUAUUAUUUGUCUUUUUAUUAUUGUCGUUAUUAUUUUGUAUCCUUAUGAUGUAUCUUUUAGGUAAUGAUAGCUGAUAAUUUACCUACUUUUCCCCAGCUCUGUAUUCACUUACUUGCCUUUGACGCAGAUAAACUCCUAGAAACUCGGAAAUGAGUACAGUGCUGAAACUAUUUUUUUUAAUGUUGCUGUAUGAUUCUCUAUACAACUCACACAUUUAAGUGCUGCUGUAUCUAUGGAUUUGCCUAUUCUGGAUAUUUCAUAUAAAUGGAAUCAUAUAAUGUGUUGGGGACCACCCUGCCUGGUUUCAGAAGCUGUAAUCCCCCAGGGCAAAGGCUGAGUAAAGAGACCUGGGGACCAUAAGCCACUAAGGAGACAAAGCUUAUCUUCCUGGGAGGAGCCACUGUCCCCUGUUACUUCAUCCUGCUAAGCCCUAGGUGGAUGACUGGUUAGUCAAUAACAGCAUCUGGAGGCAAAGCAGCAUUCUUGCACACAUGAAUACAGAAGCCACACAUUAGGGUGGAGAAGGUGGAAGCUAAAAGAAGCCUGAAUUCUUAAUUUUCUUCAGUAGUUACAACAACCCUUAAUUGCCUACAUAGGGACUUUAUGUCACAUGAUUAAAUAAAUCUCUAUUUGGUAAAACCA